UCAACUGAUUUGGAGCGCAUCUCAAUUCGGGAAUGCAAUAGCAUGGAGAGCUUGGUUUCAUCUUCUGGUUUCUGCUCUGCCACACUGCCAUCUCCAUCAUAUAACAGUAUAUUUUCAGGUCUUAAAAUGUUUAAUUGUUCUGGUUGUAAGAGUGUGAAGAAGUUGUUCCCUCUUGGCUUGCGGCCAAACCUCGUAACCCUGGAAGAGAUUAGAGUUAUGCAUUGUGAGAAAAUGAACAACAUAUGAUGAAAAAAGCAGCAGCAGCUCUUAUUCCAUCACCAAAUUCAUUUCUUCCAAAGUUAAGAAUUCCAAGAUUGAGAUAUUUACCAGAACUGAAAAGAAUUUCUAGUGCAAAACUAGUUUUGAUUCUCUUGAAGAAAUUG
This is a long non-coding RNA of Populus euphratica (Euphrates poplar), 383 nucleotides long. RefSeq lists it as uncharacterized. The transcript has 3 exons. The record is from RefSeq and is a predicted model, not a curated record. NCBI's taxonomy places the organism in Eukaryota, Viridiplantae, Streptophyta, Magnoliopsida, Malpighiales, Salicaceae.